This 893-nucleotide ribosomal RNA is filed under the name Bolbitius titubans. RNAcentral describes it as "eukaryotic LSU rRNA". It matches the Rfam family "Eukaryotic large subunit ribosomal RNA", at positions 61 to 941 of the family's 3401-position model. Lineage: Eukaryota; Fungi; Basidiomycota; Agaricomycetes; Agaricales; Bolbitiaceae. The record is from RNAcentral.
GAAACUAACAAGGAUUCCCCUAGUAACUGCGAGUGAAGCGGGAAAAGCUCAAAUUUAAAAUCUGGCAGUCUUUGAUUGUCCGAGUUGUAAACUAGAGAAGUGUUAUCCGCGCUGGACCGUGUAAAAGUCUCCUGGAAUGGAGCAUCAUAGAGGGUGAGAAUCCCGUCUUUGACAUGGACUACCAGUGCUUUGUGAUGCGCUCUCAAAGAGUCGAGUUGUUUGGGAAUGCAGCUCAAAAUGGGUGGUAAAUUCCAUCUAAAGCUAAAUAUUGGCGAGAGACCGAUAGCGAACAAGUACCGUGAGGGAAAGAUGAAAAGAACUUUGGAAAGAGAGUUAAACAGUACGUGAAAUUGCUGAAAGGGAAACGCUUGAAGUCAGUCGCGUCGGCCAGGAAUCAACCUUGCUUUUGCUGGGCGUACUUUCUGGUUGACGGGUCAGCAUCAAUUUUGACUGCUGGAAAAAGUUCAAGGGAAUGUGGCAUCUUCGGAUGUGUUAUAGCCCUUGUUCGCAUACAGCAGUUGGGAUUGAGGUACUCAGCACGCCGCAAGGCCGGGUUUCGACCACGUUCGUGCUUAGGAUGCUGGCAUAAUGGCUUUAAUCGACCCGUCUUGAAACACGGACCAAGGAGUCUAACAUGCCUGCGAGUGUUUGGGUGGAAAACCCAAGCGCGCAAUGAAAGUAAAAGUUGAGAUCCCUGUCAUGGGGAGCAUCGACGCCCGGACCAGAGCUUUUGUGACGGAUCUGCGGUAGAGCAUGUAUGUUGGGACCCGAAAGAUGGUGAACUAUGCCUGAAUAGGGUGAAGCCAGAGGAAACUCUGGUGGAGGCUCGUAGCGAUUCUGACGUGCAAAUCGAUCGUCAAAUUUGGGUAUAGGGGCGAAAGACUAAUCGAACC